UAGCUGAUUUUGGCUAGUUUUGAAAAUUAGACCUGGCAACCUUGAUCGUGGUAUAAAAAGCUUGGCCUGGGUGCAGGCACACAAUUUUUUUUGGGGCGAAAUGUGGUUUGUGUUCCUGCGCCCAGGCCAACACAGUGGCUCCAGAUGUAGAUGCAGAAAAGCAGUGACUGGACAGUGUAGGGGCGAAUUCUGGGCCUGUGUUUGGGCAGACUGAGAGCCCAGUGUGGCAGUAGCCUUGUACAUAGAGCUCAGACUGCAUUACUGUUCUUUGAGAUACUAUAAACAAAAUCGUGUUGUAUUUAUACUGUGUUUUGGGGUUGUUAUUAUUAUACAUGAGAGAAACACUGUAUAUUGUUGUGUGUUCAGGGGGGUAGUAAACACGGACUUGGCAGUGUAUUUAUCCUCCAUCUGCUCUAGGCGCCAUUAUAAGUGAAUUAGGUGCCACGGGGGUCACGUGUGCGCUGGGGUGGACUAUAUAAACUUGCCGCUGCGCUUAUCCUGACGCAUUUUGUGGAGUAUUGUAUUUGUACAUGAAACUGGCGCUGGCCUGCGCCGGACGAAUAAGUGCAUCAGAUGUUGGACAGCAAGUUGUGAGGAGCAAACACACACACACUGUACCCACAAACUCUUCAUAUAGUUCUGUUUAUUAUUAGCUAUUUCAAUCGUUUCGCUGUGGUAUUCGUGCGAUUUUAUGUCGCACCUCUGUGAGAGGCCCAGCUUUCUCCUGUGCGCACGAUUACUUCAGAAGAUGCGCUGAGUUUAUUUUAUUUAUCCUUCUGUGUGCAGAAGUGUGCAGAAGGGAACAUAAGCACAGGGGUACACUUGCCAUGGUGCUGCAAAGCUGGGGUACUGGGCUACACAGUUACUCGGCUAGCGAGUGAGAGGGGGUGUGGCUCAGUGGGCGGUUGAAGGCGUGGUUUCCUUGACAGCCGGAGCUUAUCCCGGCAUGCCCUGGGGCUGGCGGGGUUGGUUCUAACGAAUUUGAAUGAGGAGCUCUGCGCUUUCGGCGCCAUUUUCGAGUCAUGACUCGACCGUACAAUUUGGCAGGGAGCUGAGGCGGGUAUGAGUGGGACUAUAGACGGUGAGGCUGGGAUGUCUGUGUCUCCCGAGAGGGUGGGGGACGAGGGGAGUGGUGAGGAGCGGGGAGUGGAAGGUGAGAACCUCAAAAAACAACGCACAGUGAUCGCUGUCAGCGGAGCAGCACAAGCAGAUAUCUUGGGCGUCCACAACAACUGAAACUGUUAAAGGCUAUUGUCUCGGGGCUUCAGAAAGCAAUUCCUGACAAGCUGAAUUAACCUGUCACUGGAAGACACGGUGGUUAAAAUGACCUUGAGGUAAAGUAGCAGCACAUAAUGGUUUGUGGGUUACACAGAGGUGCAGGCCAUACUGUGCUGCCGCCAAAACACAAGGCUUUCCUCCUCUCAAGUACAUGACAUUUCUACAUGUAUGAUCUGUGUGCUCUUACCAGCUGUCCUUUAGCAGCACGUAAAUGUUGGAGUUAAAAUGGUCCCAAUAUUAUCUGUGCUGCUAGAGUAAAACUGGCCCGUCUCAACAAUCAGAACCCGCUGCUCUACACAAAGCUCAUCCUAUUCAUUUCUGUCUAACUGUGUAUUAUGCUUAACAAUCUACUCUUUUUUUAAGUCUGUUUACAAAGAUGCUGUUUUAAAAUAGAAAUCUACUUUUCCCCAUCCUGUCAUCAUUCGUUUAAAUGGGGAGUUCACCUUUAAAUUUAUAAUAUGAUGUCGACUGAUCUUCUGAAACUAUUUGCAUUUUCUGUUCAUUGCUAGUCCAGUUUACCCUAGCAACUAUGCAGUGGCUUGACAGAUGAAUAGGAGAGAGCCUGCAUAGAAAGAUGCCUACUAAAAAGAAGUAAUAGAAUUUUAGCUAGGGAUGCACCGAAUCCAGGAUUCGUUUCGGGAUUCUGCCUUUUUUCGAUUUGCAUAUGCAAAUUAGAGGCGGGAGAGAAAUCACGUGACUUUGGAAGUAAUAAAAAAAUUGUUUUU
Long non-coding RNA from Xenopus laevis (African clawed frog), 2003 nucleotides. RefSeq lists it as uncharacterized. The record is from RefSeq and is a predicted model, not a curated record. NCBI's taxonomy places the organism in Eukaryota, Metazoa, Chordata, Amphibia, Anura, Pipidae. The transcript has 3 exons.